CACAUAUGCGUGCACACACAGGAGAGGGCGGCCUGGGUAUCAGGCGAACCUGACCACAGCGCUCCUGGUUUAAAACCCUUCAGAGGCCUCCCCUUUCCCACCAGAUGUAAUUCAAAUCAUCUGGCAUCCCAUAUAAGGCCCUUUGCAGUCUGGUUUCAGCCCCCAGCUUGGAGCCCCAGGCACUCAGCUCUCCAGCAGGGGGACUCCAGAGAGAAGCCGCCCUUGCCUGCUCACCACAUGAAACCCCCUCCUCCGCCUCCACCCUUUCCUUUGCUAAACUAUCGCUCAGCCAUCGUUCAAGACCCAGUUUGGUGCUGCACUCCCAGAACUGCCUCACUGAAGAUUGGCUGUCGGAUCGAUCCACACAGCAUGGCUUCUGAAGGCUUGUUUCCAGUCUAAGAAUUCUGAGCUGAGGGAUGUUCUUUCUCCCUGACAGCCUCCCCUGAGCCCGGAAGAGGAGAGCUAUACAAAGUACGUUCCUCCGCCUGUCUUCCCAAGCUGCACAGAUGCUCUAUUUGCAGUUCUGUGAAUUGCACUGAGUUGGGACC
Molecule: long non-coding RNA, 548 nt
Filed under: Capra hircus (goat)
Lineage: Eukaryota; Metazoa; Chordata; Mammalia; Artiodactyla; Bovidae
Description: lncRNA (ENSCHIG00010022190.1)
Source: RNAcentral